This 507-nucleotide ribosomal RNA is filed under the name Sepioteuthis lessoniana. RNAcentral's name for it is "partial 16S rRNA". It matches the Rfam family "Bacterial large subunit ribosomal RNA", at positions 1817 to 2597 of the family's 2925-position model. The record is from RNAcentral. Lineage: Eukaryota; Metazoa; Mollusca; Cephalopoda; Myopsida; Loliginidae.
GUCUCCUUGUGGAAAAGUAAAUAAGGAGUCGGGCCUGCUCGGUGAAAAUUUUUAACAGCUGCGGUAUUUUAACUGUACUAAGGUAGCAUAAUAAUUUGCCUUAUAAUUUGAGGCUAGAAUGAAUGGUUUGACGAAGGUUUAUCUGUCUCUAUUUUAUUUUUUAGAAAUUAAUCUUCAUAGUGAAAAAGCUUGAAUUUUUUAAAGGGACGAGAAGACCCUAUUGAGCUUGGAAUUUUAUAUAAUUAUAUUUAUUAAAUUUGUAUAGUUAUUUAUAAAUUUUAGUUGGGGUGACUAAGGAAUAAAGUAAGUAACUUCCCUUAGAGUAAAGAUUGUUAAAUAAAGUAACCAUAUUCAAUAUUGCUUAUAAUAUAGUUACCAUAGGGAUAACAGCGUAAUUUAUUUAGAGAGCUCAUAUUGAAAAAUAAGAUUGCGACCUCGAUGUUGGAUUAAAGUAACCUUAAGGUGCAGAAGCCUUAGUUGGUAAAUCUGUUCGAUUUUUAAAACCUU